Molecule: long non-coding RNA, 797 nt
Organism: Osmerus eperlanus (European smelt)
Lineage: Eukaryota; Metazoa; Chordata; Actinopteri; Osmeriformes; Osmeridae
Exons: 2
Source: RefSeq, a predicted model, not a curated record
AUAAUUAGGAUUCCUCCGUCAGGAGGAACCCUAUUGUAAUUGUUGCUAUAUUUAUUAUUAUUAUUCUUCUUGUAAUUUAUCUCAUGAACACAUUAGUAAAAAGUUUUGAAAUUUGGCAUAUUGAUACAACAUGCCACAAAUACCGCCCAAACAUAGACUGGCCCACAUCAGAAAAUAGGGGGCGCCACAGGCCACGCCCAAAUGUCCACUUUUCAGAGUGAUGGCAUUUCCACCCCAUUGCUCCAAUUCUUCUGAAACUUGGUGUGCAUGCCUCAUUUUUCAUGAAAAAAAAAGCCUCAAGGACCCAUAAGGUCCACCAUGAUGGAUUUUCCUGUACAGUGAUAAUUUGGGAAAACCUUCAAAAUUCCUCUUCUCUUGAACCAAAGAUCUAAUUGACUUGGAAUUUUGUACAGAUAUGUAUCAUUGAUGUAUUUAAAAACGUUACUUAAGACAGUUGAAUCAAAUACAAAAUGGCUGAAAGGGGUGUAUUUAUGUAAAUGUCCACAUUGCCUCAAUAUGUUUGUGUCACUAAAUCAAAUGUCAUUAUGAAUGAUGGUUUUUCAAACCUAAUAGGCUUUAAGGUGACACCCCCCUGAAGUACCCUGCAAAGUUUCACCUUGAUAUGUGAAAAUAUGACUGAAUUACAGCUGUUUGAGCUUGGACCAAAUCUGACAAUGCUUGCCUGAUUUUAUUAUCCAGUUACUGAACAUGGCAAAGUCCAGAUCUGGGAAUGGCUCAAUUGGAUGAGAUGUUGUGCUGGUAAACGUAGGGUUGUAGGUUUAAAACCAGUCAAAGGC